This 555-nucleotide ribosomal RNA is filed under the name Triticum aestivum (bread wheat). RNAcentral's name for it is "partial small subunit ribosomal RNA". The record is from RNAcentral. Lineage: Eukaryota; Viridiplantae; Streptophyta; Magnoliopsida; Poales; Poaceae.
AUGAAGGACCUUGGUGUGGCUGAUGUUAUCUUGAACAUCAAGCUAUUGAGAGAUGAUGAGGGUGGGAUUACACUUCUGCAAUCCCAUUAUGUUGAGAAGGUGUUGAGUCGCUUUGGAUAUUCGGACUACAAACCAUCUCAAACACCAUAUGAUCCUAGUGUCUUGGUCCGAAAGUUCGAAGGCACAGCUAAGGAUCAACUGAGAUACUCUCAAAUCAUUGGUUCACUCAUGCACCUAGCAAGUGCAACGAGGCCUGACAUCGCGUUUGCUAUGAAGGCCACAACGGGGUAUAUGUUUACUCUUGGAGGUGGUGUGGUUUCCUGGAAGUCUUGCAAGCAAACGAUCUUAACAAGAUCGACAACGGAAGCAGAACUAACAGCAUUGGACACAUCGGGUGGCGAAGCAGAAUGGCUUCGAGAUCUGUUGAUGGACUUGCCAGUGGUUGAGAAGCCGGUUCCGGCCAUCCUUAUGAACUGCGACAAUCAAACAGCGAUCUUUGGAGGAACACACCUAUAUGAGCCCGACUGCUGGUCACAGUCUAUGAGAUUGGGGUGA